AUGAACGCUGGCGGCGUGCUUAACCCAUGCAAGUCGAACGGAAAGGCCCAAGCUUGCUUGGGUACUCGAGUGGCGAACGGGUGAGUAACACGUGGGUGAUCUGCCCUGCACUUCGGGAUAAGCCUGGGAAACUGGGUCUAAUACCGGAUAGGACGAUGGUUUGGAUGCCAUUGUGGAAAGUUUUUUCGGUGUGGGAUGAGCUCGCGGCCUAUCAGCUUGUUGGUGGGGUAAUGGCCUACCAAGGCGUCGACGGGUAGCCGGCCUGAGAGGGUGUACGGCCACAUUGGGACUGAGAUACGGCCCAGACUCCUACGGGAGGCAGCAGUGGGGAAUAUUGCACAAUGGGCGCAAGCCUGAUGCAGCGACGCCGCGUGGGGGAUGACGGCCUUCGGGUUGUAAACUCCUUUCGCUAGGGACGAAGCGUUUUGUGACGGUACCUGGAGAAGAAGCACCGGCUAACUACGUG
This 466-nucleotide ribosomal RNA is filed under the name uncultured bacterium. RNAcentral describes it as "partial 16S ribosomal RNA". It matches the Rfam family "Bacterial small subunit ribosomal RNA", at positions 29 to 507 of the family's 1533-position model. The record is from RNAcentral.